GUAUAUCUCUCCCUCCCUCUCUUUCUAUUAUAGUCUCUCCUAUAUGUUAGGAAGGUUUGAGUCUCUUCAUUAUCUUCUCUUUGAUGUCCUCCUCUUAAUUAAAUGAAUGAGAGCUGACAUCCUCCGGAAAGGAACAGUAUUGGUCCUCUAGUAUCUCUUGUAUUGAAGAACCAGGAGACCACAUGUGACGGCCAACCUCUCCCUCGUCCCUCAAGAUCCCCUCGUGACCAUACAAGUAAGGAUGAGGAGUGGGUGGAGUGAGGGGAGGUGUGGUGAGAAAGGAAGUUGUAAUGAUGAAAGCUAUCCUACCUCCUGAAUUCAAUGUUUGAGACGGACUCUUGUGUCAAAGGGCACCAUGUCUACAAAUCAGUGUGGACACCAGUGAUGGGGAAGAUCAUCAUCUUUGACCUAGGCAGUAUGCUUAAAAUAGCAAUACAGAGUAACAGAGACGUCAGCUUGACCGAGAACACGUCUUGACACGAGGGCACAUUUAUUAGUAAGGCAUGGUUAACCAUGCCUCUAAAUUAAUAUUAAUUUUCAGGGGUUUAAUUUUUCGUGAUGCAAACAGUGAUCACGAAAAUUCGAAAAUUUAUUCCUCACGAAAUUUUUUGGCUA
Amphimedon queenslandica is the source of this 615-nucleotide long non-coding RNA. RefSeq lists it as uncharacterized. The transcript has 3 exons. The record is from RefSeq and is a predicted model, not a curated record. Lineage: Eukaryota; Metazoa; Porifera; Demospongiae; Haplosclerida; Niphatidae.